Molecule: long non-coding RNA, 2425 nt
Organism: Triplophysa dalaica
Lineage: Eukaryota; Metazoa; Chordata; Actinopteri; Cypriniformes; Nemacheilidae
Exons: 7
Source: RefSeq, a predicted model, not a curated record
CUGAGGCAUCCGACGGCAGCAGCUCCAGAGAUGAUUUCUCAUCUCAGAUCCAGCGCAGGAACGAUCAUAUACGAAAGCUGGAGGCCAAACUCUCAGAUACGAUGUGUUUGUGAGUGAAGCCAACGUAGCAACAGCAACCCACCAAUUGUGCCCGAAUUUUACCCAAACCACAGACAGUAUCUGCACCCGCAUAGGCACUGUCUGUAACUUAAGCAAGAAGUGAGCAAAACAUUAAAUCAGUAAAAGUUAUUGAAGUCACAGAAUAACGGCAUCCAUCAUACCUGUACAUUUUUCUAAUGUGUUACAGGGGGAACACAAAGCUUGGCUUGGCUACAGUUUUUACAAAAGUGUCAUCACAUCUGGGCUUAAUGCUAUAGAAACACAGAAACUCACCACAGUAUCCUGGCUCUAGGUUGUUGGUGGUUGAGAUAAACCUGCCGGAUCUAAAAUCUAUAAUUUUCACCUGCAUCAGAUCUGUAUUGAUCAAGAAGUUGUCGCAUAACAAGUCACCAUGGUUGACGUCGUGCCCAAUCCAGUAUUUGGCUGCUGUAACUGCUUGGGUCAUCAAACGACGUGCCAAGGUUUCACUCAGAAGACUUGAAUGACAUAGGGUGAAAUCAUGCAAGGUCAUGCAUGGCCGUGGUUAUUCCAUAGUCAUGAUGAGCUGAUCUUCCAGAUACCAGUCGUAUAUUUUAACAAUAUAAGGGCAUGUCUCUGAUUUAUGUAGCUCCUGAUGUACAGCCCUUCUUUGGGUAGACGCUCGCCCUUAGACUGGUGAAAAAGCACAAAAAAAGUGCAAAGAUGCCUAAAAAAGAGAGGAGAAUCAAACAAACAAAGAAGGAGCUGCUUGAGGCCUCAAAAGGCAGAGGAUCCAGUUUCAGCUGGUUUAUGAAAAGCACAACGGAUGGACGGAGAGGGGAAAGUAAAUCAGAUGAUGAGAUGGAGACAGAGACUGUAGAGAAAGAGGGAAAUUAUGACUCUAGCGACAGUAAAAACACUACAAGGAACAGUAAGCCAUGAGGCAGAGGCUGUAGAGAAAGAGGGAAGUGUUGAGACUCAGGCGACAGAAACAGUGCAGGAUGAAGCAAGCUAGGAGAAGGAGACAGAAGCCAGAGAGGGGCUAUUCUCAAACCUACUUGGACUUUAACACCCAACUGACCCUGCUCACAUCCUAAAAUUCAAUAUUAAGUACGAUGAGGCCUUCAUUCAAAUGUGUGAUAAUAUUGGACCCUGCAAACCAGUCCUAUCUUUUCACAAGAAUGUAGAGGGACAUUCAUUUCAGAAGAAGUGGUAUAAAAAUAACCCAUGGCUAGAAUAUUCUCCUAGCACUGAUGCCAUGUUUUGUUUCAGUUGCCGUGUUUUUAUGAAUUAUGGACAAUACAAGAGUCACACAAACUGGAAAGCUGUACGGUUAAAUCACUGGAGGAAGGCUUUAGAAAAAAUUAAAGAACACACUGCCUAAGAGUCUCACAUGUGUGGUAUGAUGAGGUGGAACUCAUUCAAGAAAAAAAUUCUGGAGGCAGCUUUUAAAGUAGGUGACGAUUUAAAAACCUUGCAGCUCUUGGUGUGCAGCAGCCACUGUAAGCAAUCACCCUUGGCAUCAACUGCAGCACUACAGUAGAGAUGACCUCCUGCCACAUCAGCAGGACAUCCCCAGAAAACACAUCAAAAUCAGCUGCUCCCUGAACACUGUUGAAGUACUUUGGAGCACAACCAACUCUACCCGCCCUGUUCUUAUGUUUUCUUUCAUUAUUUAAGUAUCUAUUUUUCUGUAACAUUCUAUUUUUGAUUAUAUGAAUGUUUGUCUAUUUUGGUUUUAUUUAAAAGAUUGCACAUUUAAUUUACAUUUGCAUUUGCACAUUUGCAAAUUAUUUAUUUCUUGUUUUGUGACAGUUUGUAUUCAGAAGUUUAAGAGUAAAGUCUUUUAUUUAAGUAUCGUAUUGAACAUUUUUAUGUAUUUAUUUUGUAUUAAUACAUAACCUCACUGUAUUAAUUUAUAAUGUAACAUAAUAGCGUGAGAUUUGUGUCAAUAAUCUUCAAGCACAGGUGACUUCGCGUGCUGGGAGGGGGGCCCCCAAAUCAAAUUCUGCUUUGGGCCCCCAAGAGGCUCGGGCCGGCACUGCUUAUGCUUGUGUAGCCUCUGACGGCUAUAGCAGUGGUGACUACGCCACCCCUUGGAACAGACUGGUAAGAGCAAGGGGAAUAUUUUACAGGAGGCACACACAGGCUUGGUCAACAAAGUAGAAAAGUACAAUCUUUAUUUUUGUUACAGUAAAAACAUUGAGUCGCUUUUGGAUUUCAAUAAAUAACACACAAAUUCAUCACUUGACAUAACACUAAGCCUAAGGGGGUGGGCCACCGAAGUACAAGUUACUCAGGCCUAAGUUUCCGUACCACACGUGAGCUAGGGCACACCACUUUAGAG